RNAcentral lists this ribosomal RNA (251 nucleotides) under uncultured prokaryote. RNAcentral describes it as "partial 16S rRNA". It matches the Rfam family "Bacterial small subunit ribosomal RNA", at positions 525 to 775 of the family's 1533-position model. The record is from RNAcentral.
ACGGAGGUUCCAAGCGUUGUUCGGAAUUACUGGGCGUAAAGGGAGCGCAGGCGGACAAGUCAGUCUAAAGUGAAAUCCCGGGGCUUAACCUCGGACUUGCUUCGGAUACUGCUUGUCUUGAGUUCGUGAUAGGAAGAUGGAAUUCAGGGUGUAGCGGUGAAAUGCACAGAUAUCCUGAGGAACACCGGUGGCGAAAGCGGUCUUCUGGCGCGAAACUGACGCUGAGGCUCGAAAGCGUGGGUAGCAAACGG